ACAAGGGUCACGUAGUUGGCUAGAGUGACAAGUCAUUAGCCAAAGGAUGAUCCUCAUCUCCCUUCGCAGCAUUAUGUAAUUCUGCACGGUGGGGAGGGCGAUGGCAAAAGACCCCAAGAUUCUAUGGGGGAGAGAGAGAAAAAAAGAGAGAUGGAGUGAGACAAAAAAUAGAUUAUUGGUUAAAUGGAAAAAGUAAAAGGGCAAUGGAAAAGAGCGUGUGAGAGCUAUAAGACCUAGAAAUCCUCUAAAGUUACCAAGAUGUUCAAGUUUCUCCACUUUGCCUGGUAUAGGAGACAAAUCAGUGGAUAAGAUAGCCAAACUCUGAUUUGAUUGAUCAAUACACCAGUUUCUGUUCCAUAGGACACCAUUAUAUACUAAUUUGAUUCAAACACCUCUAAUUCCUAGAUUUCUAAUUAAGGCUUUAAUCCUCAUAUCUGUAGUUCUUAACCUAGAUCAUUUUAUUUUCAACAUUAAUACUUCGGUGUAGGUGUGUAUUUCUUUUUUUUUUUUUUCCUUGAAAGAGUGCACACAAGCCAAAGUUCAAAACAAAAGAACUAAAAAAGUGUUUUGACCUAUUGAUUUACUUUUAUUCUGAACCACAAGGCUCAGUUUCUGUUAAGUGGGGUUUUGGACUAAUACCCCACAGGGUUCCUGCAGCAGUAUUUUUCUGUUAAAUUCAUAACGGAGAAAGGGUUUGAAUUGUUAUAAUCCUUUUCUGUAAAAAAUUGUACUUUGUUGUUUAAGAAGGUUCAAAAGGAAGUUUAUUCCUUGCUUUUAAGGAACCGUAGAGAUGGUUAAGGAGCUUAGUGGAACAUAAAUACUUUUAUGCCCGUGAAAGAGGCGAAGACCGAAGACAUACCGUUGCACAUAGUCACCUUCCUUCGUUACUUUUGCCGCAACAAUAUUCGAUAUUGAUAUGUCUCUGUAGGCUCUCUGCCCACUGCAAUUGCUAUUAGCUCUCCCUCGCUUUCUCUCUCUCUCUCUCUCUCUCUCCCCUUUUCCUUCUCCUUCUCCUUCUCUGUCUUUAUCGCUGUAGUUGAUGGAAUUUGAGCAUUCCAACAUGACUCCAAGGAGAAAAGGCCGAUCUCAUCGUAGAGGCUCAACAUAAACUGCGCAGCUUCAUUGGAAGGCCAAAAGAUUACGCUUUGCCCUUUCUCAUUUCGCCCUCCUCCUGUAUACAAAAAGGACAUUUUGGGAUUAGCUGCAGAAAUUUUAGAGUUUAGAGGUUGACGUUGUAUUAAUGGGAUUUGUGGAAGGCAUAGAAUGGAUGAAUACUUACAGUAGGAAGCAAUUCAAGAAACUGUUCUGGAGGAUGAGAGCUGCAAUGAAGAAAGCCAUCAAGAACGGAAGCAAGCAGCAGUUCAGGUUUCAGUAUGAUCCUUGCAGCUACGCUCUAAAUUUUGACGAUGGAUUAUGCAAAUUUGAAGCUGUCGCAAGUGAAACACAUGCAAAGUUUCAAGCUAGUUCAAAUUUGAAUCACUCUGCUAUGUGGGUUUUUGUACUUUUGGUGAAAUCUGAGUGAAUUUUCUUGAUAGGCAGAUUGACUCUUUGCCUGUUCAUUUUCUUCUUCAUUCUUGAUUAGAAACCAUCUAGUUCCAUUUCUGUAUAUCUAUGCUUGUGAUAUGAUCUAGAAUUAUUAAUUGAUUUUGGUCUUGGUUUUGUUUUGAGAGAAA
Molecule: long non-coding RNA, 1673 nt
Organism: Cucumis melo (muskmelon)
Lineage: Eukaryota; Viridiplantae; Streptophyta; Magnoliopsida; Cucurbitales; Cucurbitaceae
Exons: 2
Source: RefSeq, a predicted model, not a curated record